This is a long non-coding RNA of Priapulus caudatus, 681 nucleotides long. RefSeq lists it as uncharacterized. The record is from RefSeq and is a predicted model, not a curated record. The transcript has 6 exons. Lineage: Eukaryota; Metazoa; Priapulida; Priapulimorpha; Priapulimorphida; Priapulidae.
CUGGUUCCCUUUAGAAAUAUAAGGAUGAUGUCGACGAGCUCACAUGGCAGCUGCAGCAACAGACCUUGGCUAAGAUGCCCACAGCAACCUUCGUGUCCAACUUUGCCGAUGAAACAAGUGAGCCAAUAGAAUCAUCGCCACCUCCUGUCGAUAAUGCUGUCACGCCAAUUAUGACCAAGAGGAAACGGACUCGAGGACAUGCAUGGUCUACCAAAAAAAAUGCAAGAAGCCACCAAAAGAAGCCACUAAAAGCAAUGCUACACCAAUAAAAAAGCAGAAAAAAAAGAAGAAGCGGGAACACAUAAAAAUUGGACGCACAAAAAGAGCCACCGGAUAACGACCAGGAAGUACCACCAGGUUUCGUACAGUCCUUGAAAAGUCCUUGAAUUUGAGGUAACUCUCCCGUUCUCACGGACGAACAGAUGGCAGCGAUAAGCGCACGAUACGCAAAACCUCCGCGCACAUCCACACCAGAUGGAGCCACCGACGACUCCACUACUCCGAAACCAGAAGCCAACAAAAAUUGCAGCCGCAGAAACGAGAAGCGAUUCUGGAAAUGAAAUCGUGCGGAUCGUUAGGAAAUUUUUUAAGAAAUUUUUUAAUUUUGAAGAUACGAGAAUUGCUAAGAACAACGGUGAGGUUCAUGUAAAAUGUAUUUGUAAUGUAUUAGGAGUCGAGGGA